Molecule: long non-coding RNA, 612 nt
Filed under: Equus caballus (horse)
Lineage: Eukaryota; Metazoa; Chordata; Mammalia; Perissodactyla; Equidae
Description: lncRNA (ENSECAG00000045381.1)
Source: RNAcentral
ACCUGCUUCUUAGAGCUUAUUUACCCCUCUCGCAGUGGCUCCCUGUGUUCCAGCUUAGACCUGAUUUGUUUCUGUUUCUCAAGGAAGCCAAGUUCUUCCCAACAUAGGGCCUUUGUCCUUGCCCUUCCCACGUCCUGGAAUGCACUUCCCCGAGCUCUUCACCUGACUCAUUCCCUCUCCUGCGGAACAUUCCAGGAAAUGAAGGUGAAAGCGCAGGUGCUCUGGGUGCACACGGGAAGGCAUGGACGCCAUCUCUUGAGAAACCAGAAAGCUACCAAGAGGAAGUCAUGCUGUCUAGUUUGAGAUCCAAAGGAUCAUGUGCCAAAGGAGGAGCUUUAGCCGUGAUGAAGCGUCGGCAUCCCUCCCCCGAGGCUGGGACCACUGGACGCUGAAUGCAUCCAUCUUCCUUCGCGUGUCUCUCACUCAGCAUCUUUUCUAACGUCUACUUCCCACCAGGCUGCAGGCCCGUGUUAACCUUCAGAUUUGGGAAAGAACUGGAUUGGCUGCUGGCGCUGGAAACUUUUCUUCACGAACGCCUUUUAUACGGUUUUGGCAGGCACAUAUAAUACCAGCAGAGAGAGAAAUCCCGCUGGCGAGAGAAAAUAAAACCUU